Molecule: unclassified non-coding RNA, 228 nt
Filed under: Hevea brasiliensis (rubber tree)
Lineage: Eukaryota; Viridiplantae; Streptophyta; Magnoliopsida; Malpighiales; Euphorbiaceae
Source: RNAcentral
GACUUGUCCAGUGACUUGCAGAAGCUAACCGAUGAGUAUAUGAAGAAGAUUGACACCAUCUUCAAGCAAAAGGAAAAGGAAUUGCUGAAGGUUUGACCGUUGUUUGUGCACAGAUGUAAUGUAAUGGGUGAAUUUCUGCUUUGAGUUUCCAUUUGGGGACAAAUUUGUGAUGUGCAGUGUCUAUAACUAAUGAGAAAGGCACUUCAGAAAUUAAUAGGAUAGCAGUGG